Molecule: ribosomal RNA, 1435 nt
Filed under: uncultured organism
Description: SSU rRNA
Rfam family: Bacterial small subunit ribosomal RNA
Source: RNAcentral
UCUACAGGCUUAACACAUGCAAGUCGAGGGGCAGCAUGGUCUUAUCUUGCUAAGGCCGAUGGCGACCGGCGCACGGGUGAGUAACACGUAUCCAACCUGCCGUCUACUCUUGGACAGCCUUCUGAAAGGAAGAUUAAUACAAGAUGGCAUCAUGAGUCCACAUGUUCACAUGAUUAAAGGUAUUCCGGUAGACGAUGGGGAUGCGUUCCAUUAGAUAGUAGGCGGGGUAACGGCCCACCUAGUCUUCGAUGGAUAGGGGUUCUGAGAGGAAGGUCCCCCACAUUGGAACUGAGACACGGUCCAAACUCCUACGGGAGGCAGCAGUGAGGAAUAUUGGUCAAUGGGCGAGAGCCUGAACCAGCCAAGUAGCGUGAAGGAUGACUGCCCUAUGGGUUGUAAACUUCUUUUAUAAAGGAAUAAAGUCGGGUAUGCAUACCCGUUUGCAUGUACUUUAUGAAUAAGGAUCGGCUAACUCCGUGCCAGCAGCCGCGGUAAUACGGAGGAUCCGAGCGUUAUCCGGAUUUAUUGGGUUUAAAGGGAGCGUAGAUGGAUGUUUAAGUCAGUUGUGAAAGUUUGCGGCUCAACCGUAAAAUUGCAGUUGAUACUGGAUAUCUUGAGUGCAGUUGAGGCAGGCGGAAUUCGUGGUGUAGCGGUGAAAUGCUUAGAUAUCACGAAGAACUCCGAUUGCGAAGGCAGCCUGCUAAGCUGCAACUGACAUUGAGGCUCGAAAGUGUGGGUAUCAAGCAGGAUUAGAUACCCUGGUAGUCCACACGGUAAACGAUGAAUACUCGCUGUUUGCGAUAUACUGCAAGCGGCCAAGCGAAAGCGUUAAGUAUUCCACCUGGGGAGUACGCCGGCAACGGUGAAACUCAAAGGAAUUGACGGGGGCCCGCACAAGCGGAGGAACAUGUGGUUUAAUUCGAUGAUACGCGAGGAACCUUACCCGGGCUUAAAUUGCAGAUGAAUUACGGUGAAAGCCGUAAGCCGCAAGGCAUCUGUGAAGGUGCUGCAUGGUUGUCGUCAGCUCGUGCCGUGAGGUGUCGGCUUAAGUGCCAUAACGAGCGCAACCCUUGUUGUCAGUUACUAACAGGUUCUGCUGAGGACUCUGACAAGACUGCCAUCGUAAGAUGUGAGGAAGGUGGGGAUGACGUCAAAUCAGCACGGCCCUUACGUCCGGGGCUACACACGUGUUACAAUGGGGGGUACAGAGGGCCGCUACCACGCGAGUGGAUGCCAAUCCCAAAAACCUCUCUCAGUUCGGACUGGAGUCUGCAACCCGACUCCACGAAGCUGGAUUCGCUAGUAAUCGCGCAUCAGCCACGGCGCGGUGAAUACGUUCCCGGGCCUUGUACACACCGCCCGUCAAGCCAUGGGAGCCGGGGGUACCUGAAGUGCGUAACCGCGAGGAGCGCCCUAGGGUAAAACUGGUGACUGG